CAGCCGCCGCGGGAAUACAGUGGGUGCGAGCGUUAAUCGGAUUUACUGGGCGUAAAGCGUGCGUAGGCGGCUUCUUAAGUCGGAUGUGAAAUCCCUGAGCUUAACUUAGGAAUUGCAUUCGAUACUGGGAAGCUAGAGUAUGGGAGAGGAUGGUAGAAUUCCAGGUGUAGCGGUGAAAUGCGUAGAGAUCUGGAGGAAUACCGAUGGCGAAGGCAGCCAUCUGGCCUAAUACUGACGCUGAGGUACGAAAGCAUGGGGAGCAAACAGGAUUAGAUACCCGCGUAGUCCCUGUCUCUUAUAC
Molecule: ribosomal RNA, 301 nt
Filed under: uncultured bacterium
Lineage: Bacteria
Description: partial 16S ribosomal RNA
Rfam family: Bacterial small subunit ribosomal RNA
Source: RNAcentral